Non-coding RNA from Pelobates cultripes (western spadefoot toad), 228 nucleotides. Lineage: Eukaryota; Metazoa; Chordata; Amphibia; Anura; Pelobatidae. The record is from the annotation of a GenBank genome assembly.
AGCAGAGAGGCAGUCAGAGACACUAGUCAAGAGGGACGGGGAGAGAUCAGGAGAGGACAGGUAGAUUUGCGUGUCAUCUGCAUAGAAAUGAUAUUGGAAGCCAAAGGAGCUAAUGAGUUUACCAAGGGAGGCAGUGUAGAUGGAGAACAGUAGGGGACCAAGGACUGAACCUUGGGGGACACCAACAGAGAGGAGUUGGGGAGAAGAAGCAGAGCCAGAGAAAGAAAC